This 234-nucleotide long non-coding RNA is filed under the name Prunus persica (peach). Its description in RNAcentral is "long non-coding RNA (PPER_LNC005091)". Lineage: Eukaryota; Viridiplantae; Streptophyta; Magnoliopsida; Rosales; Rosaceae. The record is from RNAcentral.
UUGCUCGUAGCACUUGCAACUUAGAUCUCCAAAUUUCUCUUGGCUUGGAUCUACCAUUGAUAUUGAAGUGCUCAAUAAUUUCCAUGCCACAAUAUGAAGUUGUGAAUGUCGACAUCCUUACCUAACUUGAUAAAUGUGCAUUUUAGCAAUUUUCACACGUAUUUUUCUUUAUCAAUUAUGUAACGUCUUUCUGUUAUUGUUCGUCUUCAAUAUGAUUGCUAUAUUUUCUGUUGU